Molecule: ribosomal RNA, 253 nt
Filed under: uncultured bacterium
Lineage: Bacteria
Description: partial 16S ribosomal RNA
Rfam family: Bacterial small subunit ribosomal RNA
Source: RNAcentral
UACGUAGGGGGCAAGCGUUGUCCGGAUUUAUUGGGCGUAAAGAGCGUGUAGGCGGCCUGACAAGUCUGCUGUGAAAACUCGAGGCUCAACCUCGAGAUGUCGGCGGAAACUGUCUGGCUAGGGUCCGGAAGAGGAGAGUGGAAUUCCUGGUGUAGCGGUGAAAUGCGCAGAUAUCAGGAAGAACACCUAUGGCGAAGGCAGCCUCCUGGGCCAGCACUGACGCUCAUGCACGAAAGCGUGGGGAGCAAACAGG